Long non-coding RNA from Protopterus annectens (West African lungfish), 397 nucleotides. RefSeq lists it as uncharacterized. The record is from RefSeq and is a predicted model, not a curated record. NCBI's taxonomy places the organism in Eukaryota, Metazoa, Chordata, Ceratodontiformes, Protopteridae. The transcript has 3 exons.
UUAGAAUGUUGCACCAGAGCUCUUGGCCUGUUCUUUGGAUCCAUUACUGUUAAAAACUGAUUUAUGAUGUAGGAAUGCAGCAAAAUCUCCGGUGGUUCAUUAGAGGCGUUUUUGGAGCUUGCUUCUUGUUUUUCAUAUUUAACUGACAUACAUAGUACACAUUAUACAGGUGGAACACUUUGUAUUGAACAAUUAACACAUAAGAUGAUGCAGUGUUGAAUCCACAACUAAGUAAGAAGCUACUUGUCUAAAGAGGUGACAAGGGCAGGGCCGGUAACCAUGCCCUGUGCAUCAAGCAGAUGCACAGACUGGAGGAGCAGCAGAGGGAGAAAAAUAUGCUACUUAUUUUGUUUGUUUUGUUAAAUAAAAUGUAUCUGAUCCUUGUUACAAGCCUGUA